UAGGGAAUCUUCCACAAUGGGCGAAAGCCUGAUGGAGCAACGCCGCGUGUGUGAUGAAGGGUUUCGGCUCGUAAAACACUGUUGUAAGGGAAGAAUGACAUUGAGAGUAACUGUUCAAUGUGUGACGGUAUCUUACCAGAAAGGAACGGCUAAAUACGUACCAG
RNAcentral lists this ribosomal RNA (164 nucleotides) under uncultured bacterium. RNAcentral describes it as "partial 16S rRNA". It matches the Rfam family "Bacterial small subunit ribosomal RNA", at positions 355 to 511 of the family's 1533-position model. The record is from RNAcentral.